UCCCAAGGCCCAAGAGCCAUCUAGGGCUGU
Molecule: non-coding RNA, 30 nt
Filed under: Homo sapiens (human)
Lineage: Eukaryota; Metazoa; Chordata; Mammalia; Primates; Hominidae
Source: RNAcentral